Molecule: ribosomal RNA, 460 nt
Filed under: uncultured bacterium
Lineage: Bacteria
Description: partial 16S ribosomal RNA
Rfam family: Bacterial small subunit ribosomal RNA
Source: RNAcentral
ACUACGGGUGGCAGCAGUGAGGAAUAUUGGUCAAUGGACGAGAGUCUGAACCAGCCAAGUAGCGUGAAGGAUGACUGCCCUAUGGGUUGUAAACUUCUUUUAUAUGGGAAUAAAAUGUUCCACGUGUGGGAUUUUGUAUGUACCAUAUGAAUAAGGAUCGGCAAACUCCGUGCCAGCAGCCGCGGGAAUACGGAGGAUCCGAUCGUUAUCCGGAUUUUUUGGGAUUAAAGGUAAGGUAGGGGGAUUGGUAAGUCAGUUGUGAAAGUUUUCGGUUCAACCGUAAAAUUGCAGUUGAAACUGGCAGUCUUGAGUACAGUAGAGGUGGGCGGAAUUCGUGGUGUAGCGGUGAAAUGCUUAGAUAUCACGAAGAACUCCGAUUGCGAAGGCAGCUCACUGGACUGCAACUGACACUGAGGCUCGAAAGUGUGGGUAUCAAACAGGAUUAGAUACCCUUGUAGUC